This 852-nucleotide ribosomal RNA is filed under the name Triticum aestivum (bread wheat). RNAcentral describes it as "partial small subunit ribosomal RNA". Lineage: Eukaryota; Viridiplantae; Streptophyta; Magnoliopsida; Poales; Poaceae. The record is from RNAcentral.
AUGGCACCCGACACGCCGACGGCGGCCAAGAGAAGCAAGCAAGCGUCAUGCACGGCGGCCAGCCUGCCGGAAGAGAUCCUGUCCGAGAUCCUGCUGCUUCUCCCGUCCAGGUCCAUCCUCCGGUUUCGGGCCGUCUGCCGCUCAUGGGCCACCCUGCUCUCCUCCCCGGCCUUCAAGGACGUCUACGCCGUCAAGGCCCAUGCCCGUGCCCGGCGCAUGGACAAGUUCGUCGUCUUCGCACCGCCACCCAACGCAAACGGGUCCAUGGCGGUCUACUCCUGCGCCCGAGGCGCCUCCGUCGCGGAUCCUCUCCUUACCGUCGACCGUGUGCGCGUCGACUUCAUUUGCUUGUCGAGCAAGCCCUGCCAUGGCACCAUGCUCUUCUCGGACACCCGCUCCGGCGUCUAUUGGGUGUGUAACCCUAGCACCGGAGAGUGUGUCCCCUUGCCAAAGCAGCGCCGUGGCUUGAUGCAAUCGAGCGCCGGCCUGGUGUACGAUGAUCGGACCAAAGAGCGCAAGGUGGUCCAUCUCUUCAAGGAUAUGACGCAUUUCGGGUGCGACAUUUACGCGACCCCGGAUGGCCAGGACGCCAUUCUUUGCUUCUCCGUCGACACGGAAACCUUCACACGGCUCAACGCACCUUCAAGUGUGCACUUGGCAGCAGAGUACAAAGAAUUAGACGAGAACUUGCCAGCGGUCCCAAUGCAUCUAGCGGAGCUAGAAGGCUCGUUGUGCCUGGUCCAUGAUCUUCGCCGACGAGGGCAAGGUAGGAGCUGGCUAGAUGUAUGGAUGCUCAGGGAUCAUGCUGCCAAUGAGUGGUCACUUAGACUACCGCAUCGUUGUCACACCUGA